RNAcentral lists this transfer RNA (85 nucleotides) under Felis catus (domestic cat). It matches the Rfam family "tRNA". Rfam says of the family: Transfer RNA (tRNA) molecules are approximately 80 nucleotides in length. Their secondary structure includes four short double-helical elements and three loops (D, anti-codon, and T loops). Further hydrogen bonds mediate the characteristic L-shaped molecular structure. tRNAs have two regions of fundamental functional importance: the anti-codon, which is responsible for specific mRNA codon recognition, and the 3' end, to which the tRNAs corresponding amino acid is attached (by aminoacyl-tRNA synthetases). tRNAs cope with the degeneracy of the genetic code in two manners: having more than one tRNA (with a specific anti-codon) for a particular amino acid; and 'wobble' base-pairing, i.e. permitting non-standard base-pairing at the 3rd anti-codon position. Lineage: Eukaryota; Metazoa; Chordata; Mammalia; Carnivora; Felidae. RNAcentral also lists the same sequence under 1 other name. The record is from Rfam by way of RNAcentral.
GCUUGGGUGGCUCAGUCGGUUGAGCAUCUGACUUUGGCUCAGGUCAUGAUCUCGCGGUUUGUGGGUUCGAGCCCCGCGUCGGGCU